GACCCUUUGAAACCUUUCAAAGGAAACUUGCUAAACAAUAGAAGCUAAUUUAGGAGUUAUAAUUUCAAGAAGCCCCUUUGGAUUUUCGACAUGAACCCAAUGACCAGAGUUGGGAAGGAGAUGAUAGGACAUCUUGCCUUCGGAUCCACCAGUUCUGUUGGAAGCAAUGCUUUCGAGUUUCUGGACAGUCUCUGGAUCCCACCUAUCACUUCUCUCAGCACGCACAAUCGCUAUCUCUGUCCCUUUUGGCGGGUGCUCCAGCAAAGGCCAAUAAUCUUUCUCCCUGUAAGAAUCAAACAUCUCUGCAGCAGCUUCAAUGUUAAAGUUCCAUGUCAUGCUAUCCCCUGAUUUCUCAAGAUUGCUGCCCAGCCAUUCUGAUAAUGCCUUGGAAAACCCGAGUUUCAACAAGUGAUCUACCAGCCAUUUUCGAGAGGGGAUUGGUGAAGGUAGGCUCUGCAGUGUCUGCAUAACUUUCUCUACUUCUCUAUUGCUAUCAUCAGGGUUCACCUUUCCAGGGACAGAGUCCAAUACCCAGAGCUGCUUGGGCAAUCGAGCCGAUUGUCCAUAAACACCUCGAGAGCAGCUCUCAACAUACUGCAAGGCGACUUUACCACCCAUGGAAUGCCCUAUAACAACAUCAGGC
RNAcentral lists this unclassified non-coding RNA (643 nucleotides) under Hevea brasiliensis (rubber tree). Lineage: Eukaryota; Viridiplantae; Streptophyta; Magnoliopsida; Malpighiales; Euphorbiaceae. The record is from RNAcentral.